UGAGUGAUUUCAUGAGAAACAUUUUUUCGUGUAAUAAAUGGGGCGUUAAAAGAGGAUAAGGUCAAGGUGCUAAGAUUGGUUGCUCAUUCAAAUUUAAACUUUGUUUUGAAUUUGAAUGGCCAACCAAUCAUCCUUAUCCACUCAUUUGGUGCAUUAAAGUAGGGCGUGAGGAGGGCUUUGCAUGAGAAAAAAUUCAUGAGAACUUUCUUCUCGUGAAUUCAAAUGGGCACAGUGGA
Molecule: long non-coding RNA, 236 nt
Filed under: Elaeis guineensis (African oil palm)
Lineage: Eukaryota; Viridiplantae; Streptophyta; Magnoliopsida; Arecales; Arecaceae
Description: long non-coding RNA (EGUI_LNC080961)
Source: RNAcentral